Ribosomal RNA from Cercocebus atys (sooty mangabey), 97 nucleotides. The record is from Ensembl. NCBI's taxonomy places the organism in Eukaryota, Metazoa, Chordata, Mammalia, Primates, Cercopithecidae.
GUCUACUACCAUACCACUCUGAACACACCCAAUCUCAUCUGAUCUCAGAAGCUAAAUAGGGUCGGGCCUGGUUUGUAUAAUAAUUGGAUGGGAGAAA